UAGAUACCCUGGUAGUCCAUGCCGUAAACGUUGGGCACUAGGUGUGGGGGACAUUCCACGUUUUCCGCGCCGUAGCUAACGCAUUAAGUGCCCCGCCUGGGGAGUACGGCCGCAAGGCUAAAACUCAAAGGAAUUGACGGGGGCCCGCACAAGCGGCGGAGCAUGCUGAUUAAUUCGAUGCAACGCGAAGAACCUUACCAAGGCUUGACAUGCACUGGACGGCUGCAGAGAUGUGGCUUUCUUUGGACUG
RNAcentral lists this ribosomal RNA (250 nucleotides) under uncultured bacterium. RNAcentral describes it as "partial 16S ribosomal RNA". It matches the Rfam family "Bacterial small subunit ribosomal RNA", at positions 779 to 1029 of the family's 1533-position model. The record is from RNAcentral.